AAAGCAGAAUCCUAUUAUCUUAUCUUCUAUUUACUAUAUACUAAAGUAGAACCCUUUGUAUAAAACGGCCACGUGACUUUCUAUAUGCUUGCCACGUGUCAAAGUGAAAGAUAGAAUCUAUCUAUUUGCUAUAUACUAAAGUAGAACCUUUUGUGUAAAACUGCCACGUGGCUUUCUAUAUGCUUGCCAUGUGUCAAAGUCAAAUAUAAAAUAGCAAUUUUAUUAGGAAACACUAUUAAAUCAAAUUAAAUCAAAUUUAAUAAAAUUACUAUAUACUAAAGUAGAACCCUUUGUGUAAAACUGCCAUGUGGCUUUCUAUAUGCUUGCCACGUGUCAAAGUCAAAUAUAGAAUAGCAAUUUUAUUAGGAAACACUAUUAAAUCAUAUUAAAUCAAAUUAUACCAAUUAAAUAUAAUUAUAUAUACAAUUAACGAGAAUUUUAUUAGGAAACACUAUUAAAUCAAAUUAAAUCAAAUUAAAUAAAAUUAAAUCAAAUUAAAUCAAAUUAUACCAAUUAAAUAUAAUUAUAUAUAUACAAUUAACUAGAAUUUUAUUAUGAAACACUAUUAAACACUAUUAUUAUAAUUAUCCUCAAAUAUAGAAUAGCAAUUUUAUUAGGAAACACUAUUAAAUCAAAUUAAAUCAAAUUAUACCAAUUAAAUAUAUUAUAUAUACAAUUAUCUAGAAUUUUAUUAUGAAACACUAUUAAACACUAUUAUUAUAAUUAUAGUCAAAUAUAGAAUAGCAACUUUAUUAGGAAACACUAUUAAAUCAAAUUAAAUCUAUCUAUUUACUAUAUACUAAAGUAAAACCCUUUGUGUGAAACUGCCACGUGUCUUUCUAUAUGCUUGUCACGUGUUAAACUCAAGUAUAGAAUAGCAAUUUUAUUAGGAAACACUAUUAAAUCAAAUCAAAUCAAAUUUUACUAAUUAACAAAUUAUACCAAUUAAAUAUAAUUAUAUAUACAAAUAGGAAACACUAUUAAAUCAAAUUAAAUCAAAUUAAAUCAAAUUAUACCAAUUAAAUAUAACUAGUUACGGGACCCGCGCGUUGCAGCGAAAAGUUAACACAACAGUAAUUUAUCAGUUUUUAAUAUUAAUUUUUUU
RNAcentral lists this long non-coding RNA (1105 nucleotides) under Ananas comosus (pineapple). RNAcentral describes it as "long non-coding RNA (ACOM_LNC010206)". The record is from RNAcentral. Lineage: Eukaryota; Viridiplantae; Streptophyta; Magnoliopsida; Poales; Bromeliaceae.